Molecule: ribosomal RNA, 255 nt
Filed under: uncultured bacterium
Lineage: Bacteria
Description: partial 16S ribosomal RNA
Rfam family: Bacterial small subunit ribosomal RNA
Source: RNAcentral
GACAGAGGUCCCGAGCGUUAGGCGGAAUCACUGGGCUUAAAGCGUGUGUAGGCGGAUUUGUAAGUACCUUGUGAAAUCCCACGGCUUAACCGUGGAACUGCUGGGUAUACUGCGAAUCUUGGGCCAUCUAGGGGCUAGCGGAACAAACGGUGGAGCGGUGAAAUGCGUAGAUAUCGUUUAGAACGCCAAUGGUGAAAACAGCUAGCUGGGGAUGUGCCGACGCUGAGACACGAAAGCCAGGGGGAGCGAACGGGG